This is a non-coding RNA of 397 nucleotides. It matches the Rfam family "transfer-messenger RNA". Rfam says of the family: Bacterial tmRNA, also known as 10Sa RNA or SsrA, is named for its dual tRNA and mRNA-like properties. Its role is to liberate the mRNA from a stalled ribosome. The record is from Rfam.
GGGGUUGACUGGAUUUGACAGCGUGGCUAAGUGGUAUGUAAGCAUGCAGUGCGUGGUUGAUUGGCACUAUAAUCCCAGUUUUCAAAAUUUUAUCUGGCAACGAAAAUUAUGCUCUUGCUGCUUAAUCGAAUCAUAGUAGAUUAGCUUUAUUUCUGCCAAAGUGGUGGAAACGAGACAUCACUCAAAAGCUCUUGUUCCGAAGCGUUUGAUCAAGUGGUGCAGUAAAAUCGGGAAUAGUUAGAGAUCCGCCUCGUGUCUCUUACGAAAAUUUAGAGGAUAAGGUAUAAGUUGGUGGCUUCGGUCCUGCUUAUACUCGAAAAUUUAGGCGAAGAUAAGCAUGUAGAAAGCGUAUGGCUUCCUCGUUUGGACGAGGGUUCGACUCCCUCCAGCUCCACGA